GACGAGCGCUGGCGGCGUGCCUAAUACAUGCAAGUUGAGCGCUGAAGGUUGGUACUUGUACCAACUGGAUGAGCAGCGAACGGGUGAGUAACGCGUGGGGAAUCUGCCUUUGAGCGGGGGACAACAUCGGGAAACGAAUGCUAAUACCGCAUAAAAACUUUAAACACAAGUUUUAAGUUUGAAAGAUGCAAUUGCAUCACUCAAAGAUGAUCCCGCGUUGUAUUAGCUAGUUGGUGAGGUAAAGGCUCACCAAGGCUAUGAUACAUAGCCGACCUGAGAGGGUGAUCCGGCACAAUGGGACUGAGAAAAGGCCCAAAAUCCUACGGGAGGGAGCCGUAGGGGAUCUUCGGCAAUUGACGAAAGUCUGACCGGGCAACGCCGGGUGGAUGAAGAAGGUUUUCGGAUCGUAAAACUCUGUUGGUAAGGAAGAACGUUGGUGGGAAUGGAAAACUCAUCAAGUGACGGUAACUACCCAGAAAGGGACGGCUAACUACGUG
RNAcentral lists this ribosomal RNA (497 nucleotides) under uncultured bacterium. Its description in RNAcentral is "partial 16S ribosomal RNA". It matches the Rfam family "Bacterial small subunit ribosomal RNA", at positions 28 to 507 of the family's 1533-position model. The record is from RNAcentral.